UGGUUAACAUGCAAGCUCCAUAAGAUACAUUCUUUAAACGAUUAUGAGGAGAAAGAACACCAGCAAAGUUGGCAGAUGCCAUAAGACUGGAUUGCUGUUGAGACUCUGAAAUUUGUAUCUGUUGAAGCAGCAGCAUGAGUUGUGAAUAUUUUGAUCUUUAGUUAAACCAGGAAUCAAAGAUUCUAACUCAGAGGACCCCUGAGUACUAUCAGCAUUGUUUGGAGACC
This 227-nucleotide long non-coding RNA is filed under the name Nicotiana benthamiana. Its description in RNAcentral is "long non-coding RNA (NBEN_LNC000952)". Lineage: Eukaryota; Viridiplantae; Streptophyta; Magnoliopsida; Solanales; Solanaceae. The record is from RNAcentral.